RNAcentral lists this ribosomal RNA (253 nucleotides) under uncultured bacterium. RNAcentral's name for it is "partial 16S ribosomal RNA". It matches the Rfam family "Bacterial small subunit ribosomal RNA", at positions 524 to 776 of the family's 1533-position model. The record is from RNAcentral.
GACGAAGGAUGCAAGCGUUAUCCGGAUUCAUUGGGUUUAAAGGGAGCGUAGGUGGCCUUAUAAGUCAGUGGUGAAAUCUCUCGGCUUAACUGAGAAAUUGCCAUUGAUACUGUAGGGCUUGAGUAUAGUUGCCGUUGGCGGAAUAUGACAUGUAGUGGUGAAAUACAUAGAGAUGUCAUAGAACACCGAUUGCGAAGGCAGCUGACGAAACUAUAACUGACACUGAGGCUCGAAAGUGCGGGGAUCAAACAGG